AUCUUAAAAAAGAAAAAAAGAAAUGAGGCUACUUAAAAAUGUGUCUGGAUCCUGGGCUGAUAAGUGAGUGAUACAGUGAGAUUUAAGCCUAGAGCUGUGUCCUCCAUCAUUGGCUGCUUUAAAAAUUGGUUCAAACUGCUUGUCUUUUUAUUUUCCAACAAAAGAUUAUUGUAAUGAAAACAGGCAUUUUGUGGGAGGGAUAGAGCAAGAAGUACCAGUUAAAAUUCAAACAAACAGCACACUAAACAACAUGGUCACCAUCACGUGUAGAUGAUUAAUCACCAGACACUAUAGGUAGGUGAUUUUUUUUUCUUCUCACUCCACGUCUGAAGUUUCUGAACUUCACUGCUGAUUUAAAAAAGAUAAGCUGGCCAGGCAUGGUGGCACAUGCCUGUAAAUCCCUGCACACUGGAGGCUGAAAGGAGAGGCUCACUAAUUCUAGGCUAGGGUAAUAACACAGAGAGACCCUGUUUGGAAAUAAAUAAAGUAAAUAAAACUGGAGUAAAGUCUUCUAAAUCUGGGAGCUUUGGGUUUGCUUAUUUGCAAUCUAAAAGUAAACAAACCCACAGGAAGUCAUGUGGUCGGCCUUUUGCCUUAAAUACCUCCCUGCCACCACUUUUCAUGGCUGUUUGGGGAGAAGUAUAGGACUCCACCUUAACACACAGGGCCCUGAGUUCAAUCCCAGCCUGGGUGGGGCAUAUGCUCAACCUUUUUCCAUGGUCUUAGUAAACGUGCUUUCUUGUCCAUUUUUUUUUUCAGAUGACUGAUUUUCAGUGCAAAUAAAUAGAAAUAAAACAUAAUUUGCCUGUCUCAGACUGGCAUGACAAGGAAAGAGACAACAUCUGAAAGAGGUUAAAAAGUGAUAAAGAAAAUACCAUAAACCUCCAAAACAAUACAACACCAGGCUAGAGAUAACAGCUGGCAGUGGAAUUAACACAAUAGUUAGAAACACAAAGUAACCACUGGUACUCUCAGGAGAGGAAAGAAUUCUCAGACCACGAAGGAAAAGCAGGGGCUUUCCUCCUUCCUUCAGUUAGCUCACCUUGUGUCAAGGACAUAACAUCCCCUUGAGCUCAGGGAUAGAGCUCACAUCUAGCACACACUCGGCUCUGGAUUCAAUCCACAGCAUGCAAGGAAAGAAAAGAACCCCUCACCCCCUGAAAAUCCAGUGUAUCUCUGUACCUUGUACCUUGUCUAACACAGUGCUUCGCAAAGGAAACGUUUGUCCAAUCAGUAAGGCUUCUGUUCACAUGAUUGCCAUAAACCACCCUGUAGCUAGCUAUCCAGAAAAAGGAAAGGUCACAAAGUUUCAUGGAGAAACUAGGUAAAGUGUUCAAAGGAUCAGUUUCAAAUGCAAAUCCUUGAAUUUAAGUAGAAGACCCUUGCUUGUUUAAAGGCCUUUGAGAAGAGCCAGAAGGCAGAGCAGAGAAUCAAAUGAGUCUGUGGAGUUUGGUUUUUUAUCACCCAGCUCUGUGGAGGCUUUGGUUGAAGUUCCACUAGUAAAUUGUCAACCUUUCUGCCUCAGAUCAGCAAGCCUUCCCAACACAAGACUUCGCAGAUGACCCUUUCAACAGAUACGAGGACAAUUCAACAGAGGAGUGGAACCUGUGGACAUGGAAGACACUGAAAAUAUACUCCAUCUUCAGAACAGCUGAGACACUAUACAAUUACUAUCUUCACUUUACAGAUGACAGUUUGGAUGUGAACUUGGCAACAUUCCUAGGAAUUCAUAGCUGGUGACAAAAAAAAAAAUAUAGUCAAGGCCAAACAGUGCA
Molecule: long non-coding RNA, 1775 nt
Organism: Mus musculus (house mouse)
Lineage: Eukaryota; Metazoa; Chordata; Mammalia; Rodentia; Muridae
Product: predicted gene, 39590
Exons: 3
Source: RefSeq, a predicted model, not a curated record